GAUCAUAGCUCAGGAUGAACGCUAGCUACAGGCUUAACACAUGCAAGUCGAGGGGCAGCAUGUUGGUUGCUUGCAACCAACGAUGGCGACCGGCGCACGGGUGAGUAACGCGUAUCCAACCUACCCUUGUCCAUCGGAUAACCCGUCGAAAGGCGGCCUAACACGAUAUGCGGUUCUCAGCAGGCAUCUAACGAGACGAAAUAUAAGGANAAGGAUGGGGAUGCGU
RNAcentral lists this ribosomal RNA (226 nucleotides) under uncultured bacterium. RNAcentral's name for it is "partial 16S ribosomal RNA". It matches the Rfam family "Bacterial small subunit ribosomal RNA", at positions 15 to 236 of the family's 1533-position model. The record is from RNAcentral.